RNAcentral lists this transfer-messenger RNA (355 nucleotides) under Deltaproteobacteria bacterium GWA2_54_12. It matches the Rfam family "transfer-messenger RNA". From Rfam's summary of the family: Bacterial tmRNA, also known as 10Sa RNA or SsrA, is named for its dual tRNA and mRNA-like properties. Its role is to liberate the mRNA from a stalled ribosome. Lineage: Bacteria; Deltaproteobacteria. The record is from RNAcentral. RNAcentral also lists the same sequence under 1 other name.
GGGGGCGACUGGCUUCGACGGGACGGUCUGAGUCCGGGUGAAGCAUGCCGAGUUAACUAUCUUCUCGUAAAAAAAGGUAGGCAAACACAGUCGGCAACGACUACGAUUACGCCCUGGCUGCCUAAAAACCGCCAGCGUCCGGCAUACCUUUUCCUGCGGGGUUUGCAGGACGACAAUUAGCAGGAUGGCCCUUGGGGCUAGGUCCGAAGGACCUGGGGGCGAGACUCAACCGGACUGGCUUUCCUGAAACUUGCCUGCAGAGAGCAGGGGAGCGAGACUAAAUCUGUGGGCUAAGCAUGUAGAAGAAACGGAUAAGCGUUUCCGGACGUGGGUUCGAUUCCCACCGCCUCCACCA